Agelaius phoeniceus (red-winged blackbird) is the source of this 1448-nucleotide non-coding RNA. The record is from RefSeq and is a predicted model, not a curated record. NCBI's taxonomy places the organism in Eukaryota, Metazoa, Chordata, Aves, Passeriformes, Icteridae.
UACCUGCUAGUAGUGUCUGCUUAAAAGAUAUUCUUGUAGCUGUCUGGAAGAUCAAGGAUAAUAAUGGCAAUGUAAAUGAAUCUGUGUUGGCCUGCAAAGGUGUAUGCAGGGUUUUUUGCUUGAGCCGAUAAUAAAGUUAGGCCAGUAAAAUCCCCAAAGUGGAUUGAUGCACAGGCAAAUAACAGCUUGGGCAACUUUUGAUAACCUCAUGGGACCUGCUCCUCUCCAGUCACCUCUCCUCCUGACAUAGUGCUUAUUAAGUACAGCUCAGCUUUGUCAGGCUAGUCUGACUGAAGAGAGUUUACUCUCUUGUAAGUCCUUGAGGAAAGCUUUAGUUCUUUGCUCUGGGUUUAUUGUUGCUUGGUUACAGACACUUGAGCUGGGAAAUGUAAAAGGAGUUCAGAUAUGUUUAUGUGAACUCUCAUGACAUGCAUAGGUAAAUGUAUGUCCUUUAGAAGGAGAACAUUAAUCACAAUAGGAAGGCAGAUGUGGAUAUGCUGGCUGCAUUGUGCUGGAUCAGUUUUUUCCUGUGAAAAUAUCAGAUUUGAUUGUAAAGGUUAAAGAAAAGAGGGAUGCAACAAGAAAUGCAGGAAUAAAAGUUUCGGUAACACUGCCUUCUACUCCAUGGAGGAAAAGAUAGUGAGGUGUAUGCAUGGCUGCGUUAGCUAGUCAGGAGUGUGUAGACAGGAUCAGUAUAUUUUGUUUAGAGAAGGCUAGAGGUAGUUUUAUGUAAGUGAAUGUUGAGUACAUCUUAGCUAUUUGAGCAUGUGGUUUUAUUUUCCCUUUGUUUUGUUGAGGUCUUAAAACUCUCUGCUACCCUUUGGAGAAUGUUCAAAAGGCUCUAAAGAGAGAAGAUGCAAGAAAGGACAUUCUUGAUGCCUAUUUCCAUGGCAUGACCUUGUUGCCAAAGAGGAAGGAGAAGAUCAUGGGCAGAACAGAGCAUGAAAGAGCUUUUCUUUGGGUAACAACAGUGUGAAGUGAAAUCUUUGUCAUCUCCUCCAUCCAGAGUUUUGUUCUACUCAUUUUCUAUAUUUGCUUCAGCUUAUUACUUGAAGGGAUUGAAGACUGUAACUUGUCCUAGCAAAAAAAUCUCUCUAAGAUGCUUCAGGUAAGUCCUUAUAAGAUCUUACCAGGCAGUUUAUCUAACUGUUCUGAUCAGUGUCUUCCUCAGUCCAAAGAGAAACAUGAAUGCCUUUCCCACUGAGGGAAAGUCCUCUCUCACUCUCCAGAUUAAAACAGAUCUAUGACUCCUCCAGCAUUUUCUUCAUGACUGCCACUGCUACGUUGCAGCACACCUGCCAUCUGAACAUGCACUGGAAGAUGGAAUCGUCUGACAGGCAUGUUGCCAAUGAAGAUGCUCAGUUUCAAUACCAACCUGUUUGUGUGUGGAACCCAGCUAUGACAAGACAGUACAAACUAUAUGUUACACAAUUAAAAAUUUGUUGAAA